GGGCCAGUAGCUCAGUUGGCAGAGCCACCGGCUCAUAACCGGUCGGUCGUAGGUUCGAAUCCUGCCUGGCCUACCA
This 76-nucleotide transfer RNA is filed under the name Pseudodesulfovibrio sp. zrk46. RNAcentral describes it as "tRNA-Ile". It matches the Rfam family "tRNA". From Rfam's summary of the family: Transfer RNA (tRNA) molecules are approximately 80 nucleotides in length. Their secondary structure includes four short double-helical elements and three loops (D, anti-codon, and T loops). The record is from RNAcentral. Lineage: Bacteria; Pseudomonadati; Thermodesulfobacteriota; Desulfovibrionia; Desulfovibrionales; Desulfovibrionaceae.